Molecule: long non-coding RNA, 399 nt
Filed under: Rattus norvegicus (Norway rat)
Lineage: Eukaryota; Metazoa; Chordata; Mammalia; Rodentia; Muridae
Description: long non-coding RNA NONRATT024566
Source: RNAcentral
AGCGAAGUCCCAGGGCUGGGGACAAAAGGUGGAAGAUGCAGAGAAACAGGCCUGAAAACCACGCUGGAAUGUUCCUGAGAGCCAUUUCUGGUCACUUCUUCUCUUCUUUGCUCAUACAAGAACAGAAACCACUGCCUGGUAAGUCCAUCUCAGGAGCCCUACAACUCGGAACUGACAAAAAGCAGCAAAGGGCCAAAGGCCUCUGAGAAUCACUGUGGACUGACUGGGGCCUGCCUUCCUGUGUUUGAUCAGAACACAUUCCACUCAUCAUCCUAUGUGGGCCACCAAGACAAGGCUAGCAGAGUACUUCAGUAAGGACAAACCAUUCUUCAGAACAUCCUGGCCAAUAUAGCCAGGCUGUACUUGUUCUCUCGGGAUGCUGGGUCUGGCCUCUUUGUC